Molecule: long non-coding RNA, 600 nt
Organism: Agrilus planipennis (emerald ash borer)
Lineage: Eukaryota; Metazoa; Arthropoda; Insecta; Coleoptera; Buprestidae
Exons: 4
Source: RefSeq, a predicted model, not a curated record
UUUGCUUUGAGAUGAUAUCCUUGGAUUCAAUGGACAAACUACAUGUAGCAACCAGACAUGUUUUUAUUUCCAAGAAUGCUUGUAAUGAGCUGGUCAAAAAAUUCAUAGGACACAGGGUGCUAACGAUGGUUUAUAUUAAAACAUAAUAAAUGUACAUGGAGAAGUUAAAUCAAAGGGGAAACGUGAAGAAGCAUAGUCUCCAAUCAUGCUUGUUUCGCGUGGUUAUGGAAGUGGGUCGUUUGUAGAAAGAGUAAGGGAUGCCAUUUAAACAUAUUAAAUGAAGAAGGAGACAAAAAGUAAAAAAGGAUUCAAAACAUGGAGAAUUGGAGCCCCUUUAAUGUUCCCGCCCCUUGGCUGUGAAAGAUCAUCUGACAAAUGAGAGAGAAUUAAAGUUCAGUUUGUGAUGGUACUGAAAUAAUAUCUACAAUGGUGCUGCCUUUGCUGUUUUUGUCUUCAUCUUGCAACGUUAUGCAGUUAAUUUUCAAGGGAUGAGUGAGAGCAACUGAAGAUUUAUGCGAAUUCUACUGAAAUAACAAAUUUUCUGCAUUGGCAUUCCUCUUGGAUUUGAUUUGCUUUUCACACCUGCAAACUUUGGAACAU